UACGUAGGUGGCGAGCGUUGUCCGGAUUUACUGGGCGUAAAGGGAGCGUAGGCGGACUUUUAAGUUAGAUGUGAAAUACCCGGGCUCAACUUGGGUGCUGCAUUUCAAACUGGAAGUCUAGAGUGCAGGAGAGGAGAAUGGAAUUCCUAGUGUAGCGGUGAAAUGCGUAGAGAUUAGGAAGAACACCAGUGGCGAAGGCGAUUCUCUGGACUGUAACUGACGCUGAGGCUCGAAAGCGUGGGGAGCAAACAGGAUUAGAUACCCCGGUAGUCCCU
RNAcentral lists this ribosomal RNA (275 nucleotides) under uncultured prokaryote. Its description in RNAcentral is "partial 16S ribosomal RNA". It matches the Rfam family "Bacterial small subunit ribosomal RNA", at positions 524 to 798 of the family's 1533-position model. The record is from RNAcentral.